GUGGCAAAAGCGACGUUCAGCACAUCCUGUUGAUGUCUAUUCAUCCUGACAGCUAAAGUGGAGCCAAUAACGAUACUUGCAGCAGGCACAGAUUAUGGGCUUGCAUGUAAGCAUGUUAAAUUUACAAACAGCAAUCAGAAUAAAAGUCACCCCGACAGAAAGCAGAAUAGGCCCCAGUAACUGAGUCCAUUCCAGUUGGCAGGUAGGCAUGGAGUGAUCAACAGCUUCUCUUCAGCAUAGUAUAAAAAGAACCCUCUCUACGGCAAUUUAAGUGGAAAAGCAGAAAACUGAAUGAACUGUGUGUACAGUUAGGCCUUAACAGGCAUUGCAACCCUCAACACAAGUCAUCAGCCUCAAG
Long non-coding RNA from Myiozetetes cayanensis, 358 nucleotides. RefSeq lists it as uncharacterized. NCBI's taxonomy places the organism in Eukaryota, Metazoa, Chordata, Aves, Passeriformes, Tyrannidae. The transcript is spliced from 3 exons. The record is from RefSeq and is a predicted model, not a curated record.